ACUAAGCGUACACGGUGGAUGCCCUGGCAGUCAGAGGCGAUGAAGGGCGUGCUAAUCUGCGAUAAGCGCCGGUAAGGUGAUAUGAACCGUUAUAACCGGCGAUACCCGAAUGGGGAAACCCAGUGUGACUCGUCACACUAUCAUUAACUGAAUCCAUAGGUUAAUGAGGCGAACCGGGGGAACUGAAACAUCUAAGUACCCCGAGGAAAAGAAAUCAACCGAGAUUCCCCCAGUAGCGGCGAGCGAACGGGGAGGAGCCCAGAGCCUGAAUCAGCAUGUGUGUUAGUGGAAGCGUCUGGAAAGGCGCGCGAUACAGGGUGACAGCCCCGUACACAAAAGCGCAUGUGCUGUGAGCUCGAUGAGUAGGGCGGGACACGUGGUAUCCUGUCUGAAUAUGGGGGGACCAUCCUCCAAGGCUAAAUACUCCUGACUGACCGAUAGUGAACCAGUACCGUGAGGGAAAGGCGAAAAGAACCCCGGCGAGGGGAGUGAAAAAGAACCUGAAACCGUGUACGUACAAGCAGUGGGAGCACAGGUUUACCUGUGUGACUGCGUACCUUUUGUAUAAUGGGUCAGCGACUUAUAUUCUGUAGCAAGGUUAACCGUAUAGGGGAGCCGUAGGGAAACCGAGUCUUAACCGGGCGUUAAGUUGCAGGGUAUAGACCCGAAACCCGGUGAUCUAGCCAUGGGCAGGUUGAAGGUUGGGUAACACUAACUGGAGGACCGAACCGACUAAUGUUGAAAAAUUAGCGGAUGACCUGUGGCUGGGGGUGAAAGGCCAAUCAAACCGGGAGAUAGCUGGUUCUCCCCGAAAGCUAUUUAGGUAGCGCCUCGUGAAUUCAUCUCCGGGGGUAGAGCACUGUUUCGGCUAGGGGGCCAUCCCGGCUUACCAACCCGAUGCAAACUGCGAAUACCGGAGAAUGUUAUCACGGGAGACACACGGCGGGUGCUAACGUCCGUCGUGAAGAGGGAAACAACCCAGACCGCCAGCUAAGGUCCCAAAGUCAUGGUUAAGUGGGAAACGAUGUGGGAAGGGACAGCCAGGAUGUUGGCUUAGAAGCAGCCAUCAUUUAAAGCGUAAUAUCACUGGUCGAGUCGGCCUGCGGAAGAGUAACGGGGCUCAUGCACCGAUGCAGCGAGCGACGCUGAUGCGUUGUUGGGUAGGGGAGCGUUCUGUAAGCCUGCGAAGGUGACCUGUGAGGGUUGCUGGAGGUAUCAGAAGUGCGAAUGCUGACAUAAGUAACGAUCGGGUGCCCGCUCGCCGGACCAAGGGUUCCUGUCCAACUAAUCGGGGCAGGGUGUCGACCCCUAGGCGAGGCCGAAAGGCUAGGAUAACGGGUUAAUAUUCCCGUACUUGGUGUUACUGCGAAGGGGGGACGGAGAAGGCUAUGUUGGCCGGGCGACGGUUGUCCCGGUUUAAGCGUGUAGGUGUGUGUUCCAGGUAAAUCCGGUUCACUUUAACACUGAGGCGUGACGACGAGGCACUACGGUGCUGAAGCAACAAAUGCCCUGCUUCCAGGAAAAGCCUCUAAGCAUCAGGUAACACGAAAUCGUACCCCAAACCGACACAGGUGGUCAGGUAGAGAAUACCAAGGCGCUUGAGAGAACUCGGGUGAAGGAACUAGGCAAAAUGGUGCCGUAACUUCGGGAGAAGGCACGCUGACACGUAGGUGAAGUGAUUUACUCAUGGAGCUGAAGUCAGUCGAAGAUACCAGCUGGCUGCAACUGUUUAUUAAAAACACAGCACUGUGCAAACACGAAAGUGGACGUAUACGGUGUGACGCCUGCCCGGUGCCGGAAGGUUAAUUGAUGGGGUCAGCGCAAGCGAAGCUCCUGAUCGAAGCCCCGGUAAACGGCGGCCGUAACUAUAACGGUCCUAAGGUAGCGAAAUUCCUUGUCGGGUAAGUUCCGACCUGCACGAAUGGCGUAAUGAUGGCCAGGCUGUCUCCACCCGAGACUCAGUGAAAUUGAACUCGCUGUGAAGAUGCAGUGUACCCGCGGCAAGACGGAAAGACCCCGUGAACCUUUACUAUAGCUUGACACUGAACAUUGAGCCUUGAUGUGUAGGAUAGGUGGGAGGCUUUGAAGUGUGGACGCCAGUCUGCAUGGAGCCGACCUUGAAAUACCACCCUUUAAUGUUUGAUGUUCUAACGUGGACCCGUAAUCCGGGUUGCGGACAGUGUCUGGUGGGUAGUUUGACUGGGGCGGUCUCCUCCUAAAGAGUAACGGAGGAGCACGAAGGUUGGCUAAUCCUGGUCGGACAUCAGGAGGUUAGUGCAAUGGCAUAAGCCAGCUUGACUGCGAGCGUGACGGCGCGAGCAGGUGCGAAAGCAGGUCAUAGUGAUCCGGUGGUUCUGAAUGGAAGGGCCAUCGCUCAACGGAUAAAAGGUACUCCGGGGAUAACAGGCUGAUACCGCCCAAGAGUUCAUAUCGACGGCGGUGUUUGGCACCUCGAUGUCGGCUCAUCACAUCCUGGGGCUGAAGUAGGUCCCAAGGGUAUGGCUGUUCGCCAUUUAAAGUGGUACGCGAGCUGGGUUUAGAACGUCGUGAGACAGUUCGGUCCCUAUCUGCCGUGGGCGCUGGAGAACUGAGGGGGGCUGCUCCUAGUACGAGAGGACCGGAGCAAGAGCAGCCAACGCCGUAUCAGUGUAAAAGACACAGGACGGAGCACAAAGAAUUUGCCUGGCGGCACUAGCGCGGUGGUCCCACCUGACCCCAUGCCGAACUCAGAAGUGAAACGCCGUAGCGCCGAUGGUAGUGUGGGGUCUCCCCAUGCGAGAGUAGGGAACUGCCAGGCAUCAAAUUAGAAGUAUGGCAUUAACUU
RNAcentral lists this ribosomal RNA (2824 nucleotides) under Salmonella enterica subsp. enterica serovar Typhimurium. The record is from RNAcentral. Lineage: Bacteria; Pseudomonadati; Pseudomonadota; Gammaproteobacteria; Enterobacterales; Enterobacteriaceae.